GGCAGGGUAAACCCCACCUGAAGUAAGACCAAAUAGGGAUCCAUUGGUGUGACCCGCAUCGGAUCCGGGUAGGUUGCUUGAGCAGAGUGGUGACGCUUUGCCUAGACGAAUGACUGUCCACGACAGAAUCCGGCUUACCGGCCAGCCUUAUUU
This 153-nucleotide RNase P RNA is filed under the name Gammaproteobacteria bacterium. Its description in RNAcentral is "partial RNase P RNA component class A". It matches the Rfam family "Bacterial RNase P class A", at positions 200 to 367 of the family's 367-position model. From Rfam's summary of the family: Ribonuclease P (RNase P) is a ubiquitous endoribonuclease, found in archaea, bacteria and eukarya as well as chloroplasts and mitochondria. The record is from RNAcentral. Lineage: Bacteria; Pseudomonadati; Pseudomonadota; Gammaproteobacteria.